CUCUGCUGCCCCAGGAAUGGGCUGAUUUCCUGAGUACACAUUAAUCUGAGCUCCCUCAGCCCUAGGGGUAGGGGGAUUGGGGGCACAAGAUGGGUGGAGCCAGAUAGGGAAGAUUCCCCCAGUGUUGUCCUGCUCCCAGUCCAGGUUUGGGACAAUGCCGGCAGCGUUUCCCUGUGUCUUUCCCCCACAAAGUCUCCAAGUCUUUCCUCAAAUGAUCGUCAAGGUUUGGGAGAAACAAUCUCUUCCUCUGCCCGGGUUGCGUGGAUCUCCAGUGGAAAGAUACUGCAUGACAUUGAAACAGCCGGUGUAUUAACUAAUGUAUAUGACAGUCCACCUCUGUAUGAUGAUGUGAAAGUGCAAUUUUUCUCUUCAGCUUUAUCUACCAAGAAAUGAAUUGGAUAAUCCACAUAAACAAAAAGCUUGGAAAAUUUAUCCACCAGAAUUUGCCGUGGAGAUACUUUUUGGUAUGGUUUCUGUGGAUUCUCUGCUCUUUGUGCUCUCCUCCCCACAUUGGUGGCUCCAUCUGGCACAGGGAAGCUUCUGGAUGUCAGAAGGUGGAUUCUCACUCUGUCACCCAGGCUGGAGUGUAGUGGCACAAUCUUUGCUCACUUCAACCUCUGCCUUCUGCGUUCGAGCAAUUCUCCUGCCUCAGCCUCCCGAGUAACUGGGAUUACAGGGACAGUAAGUGGUGUUUCCUGGGAGAUGCUACGGUGUUAUUUUUGCACUACAAGGGCUCUGAAGACUGCCAGGCUUGAAGUGAAGAACCACGUCACCUGCCUAUCCCAGCCAGGUGACAGUGGACAAGGGGCUUCACCUCUGAGCUGUUUUCCAGCUGUACUGGGCACAUUCCUCCUCUCACCCUGACUCACAAGGUGUUAGCAAUAAUGGACACUCCUCUAUCUUCUGCCACACUCUGAACAAUACUUCACUUCCAUCAAAUGGAUUCAUCCCAAAGGGAACGGGUCACGCAUGUGGAUGAUCAAAGGUCAGCUCCUGGUCAAUAUGAGAAGACUGGUUUCAGAAAAGUUGAGUGCUGAAGACUACAAAGCUGUUUGUAAGUUAUCAAGCUAGGAUUUGAUCCCAGGUCUGCCUGAUAAAUCCUGGACUCUUAACCAUGACAUAGGAGUGCCCUCUUGACUCCUAUGAUGGCAUAAAGAAUUGUAUCAGAACGGGUAAUCUGGCAUUAAAACCCCUGUGCCACAA
This 1203-nucleotide long non-coding RNA is filed under the name Homo sapiens (human). Its description in RNAcentral is "novel transcript". The record is from RNAcentral. Lineage: Eukaryota; Metazoa; Chordata; Mammalia; Primates; Hominidae.